RNAcentral lists this ribosomal RNA (274 nucleotides) under uncultured bacterium. RNAcentral's name for it is "partial 16S ribosomal RNA". It matches the Rfam family "Bacterial small subunit ribosomal RNA", at positions 523 to 796 of the family's 1533-position model. The record is from RNAcentral.
AUACGGAGGGAGCGAGCGUUAAUCGGAAUUACUGGGCGUAAAGCGCGCGUAGGCGGCUUUGUAAGUCGGAUGUGAAAGCCCUGGGCUUAACCUGGGAAUGGCAUUCGAUACUGCAGAGCUAGAGUAUGGUAGAGGGAAGUGGAAUUUCCGGUGUAGCGGUGAAAUGCGUAGAUAUCGGAAGGAACACCAGUGGCGAAGGCGACUUCCUGGGCCAAUACUGACGCUGAGGUGCGAAAGCGUGGGGAGCAAACAGGAUUAGAUACCCCGGUAGUCC